Molecule: ribosomal RNA, 492 nt
Filed under: uncultured bacterium
Lineage: Bacteria
Description: partial 16S ribosomal RNA
Rfam family: Bacterial small subunit ribosomal RNA
Source: RNAcentral
AGUGAACGCUGGCGGUAGGCCUAACACAUGCAAGUCGAACGGCAGCACAGUAAGAGCUUGCUCUUACGGGUGGCGAGUGGCGGACGGGUAAGGAAUACAUCGGAAUCUACUUUUUCGUGGGGGAUAACGUAGGAAAACUUACACUAAUACCGAAUACGACCUACGGGUGAAAGCAGGGGAUCUUCGCACCUUGCGCGAUUGAAUGAGCCGAUGUCGGAUUAGCUAGGUGGCGGGGUAAAGGCCCACCAAGGCGACGAUCCGUAGCUGGUCUGAGAGGAUGAUCCGCCACACUGGAACUGAGACACGGUCCAGACUCCUACGGGAGGCCGCAGUGGGGAAUUGUGGACAAUGGGCGCAAGCCUGAUCCAGCCAUACCGCGUGGGUGAAGAAGGCCUUCGGGUUGUAAAGCCCUUUUGUUGGGAAAGAAAAGCAGCGGGUUAAUACCCCGCUGUUCUGACGGUAACCAAAGAAUAAGCACCGGCUAACUUCGUG